AUAUAUAGGUUUACAUUAUUGGAGGUGAUGGAACCCAAAAAGGAGCAAGUGCAAUAUAUAAGGAAAUUAGGCGUCGUGGACUUAAAGUUGCAGUUGCAGGAAUACCAAAAACCAUUGAUAACGACAUUCCAGUCAUUGACAAAUCCUUUGGAUUUGAUAGUGCGGUUGAGGAGGCUCAACGUGCUAUUAAUGCAGCGCAUGUUGAAGCGACCAGUGUGGAAAAUGGUAUCGGACUUGUCAAGCUAAUGGGUCGCUA
Camelina sativa (false flax) is the source of this 256-nucleotide non-coding RNA. The record is from RefSeq and is a predicted model, not a curated record. NCBI's taxonomy places the organism in Eukaryota, Viridiplantae, Streptophyta, Magnoliopsida, Brassicales, Brassicaceae.